ACACGACUACAUUAGAUACCCGGGUAGUCCCAGCCCUAAACGAUGCGCGUUAGGUGUAUCGGUGACCACGAGUCACCGAGGUGCCGAAGGGAAACCGUGAAACGUGCCGCCUGGGAAGUACGGUCGCAAGGCUGAAACUUAAAGGAAUUGGCGGGGAGCACCACAACGGGUGGAGCCUGCGGUUCAAUUGGACUCAACGCCGGAAAACUCAUCGGGAGCGACAGCAGUAUGAUUGCCAGGUUGAUGACCUUGCUUGACAAGCCG
RNAcentral lists this ribosomal RNA (264 nucleotides) under uncultured archaeon. RNAcentral's name for it is "partial 16S ribosomal RNA". It matches the Rfam family "Archaeal small subunit ribosomal RNA", at positions 717 to 982 of the family's 1478-position model. The record is from RNAcentral.